GGAAAGGAUGAGAAGAGAAAAUGCUAAGUUUCUGAAAUGUAGGCAAUGGUAACCCACUCCAGUAUUUAUGCCUGGAAAAUUCCAGAGACGGCUGGGGCUGGCAGGUUACAGUCCAUGGAGUCUCACAGUCCACGCGACCGUGCACGCUGCACACACCGUGCACGCUGCACACACCGUAUGCAGGCACACCAGGAUGUGUUUAGGACCUAAAGAGGAAACUGUCUGCCUCUCCACCCCAACUUCCCCUCUAGGCAGGAAAACGUUCUAAAUCCUGGGUGAAGGAUUUAGAACGUUCUAAAUCCAUCAGAGGGUGAAGCUUCUCUUGAGGCUGUUUCCCAUUCUCUUUGGAGGGAGUCCAGGUUAAGUCUGGGAACCCUGCCACAGCCACCGGAACAAAGCGAGGAGCCUGGGUUUCUCUGAGGAGCUCUCGUCUUCAGGAGGAUUUCCAGAAGCCAAAACGUCAGUCCUUUCUCAGGUUUAGGCAAAAAAACGAGGCUGCGGGUCCCACAGCUUAGCUUCUGGCGGCAUCUGGGAGUGGGCGCAGCGCGCCUAGGACCUUGUGAGCCCCACCAGCUGGUCCCUUCGAGGAUGGCUCCCGAGCCGGCCCGGGAGGAGCAAGGACGAGGGUGUGUGUGUUGGGGGCGGGGGGUGCUCGACGGCCGCGUUCCAGCAAACCUUUCCCCCUCCGCGAGGGCCUGGGGCCGCCUUGCGCAGGCAGCCCGCACCUGCCGCGCCCCGCUCGCGGGCCCUCCAGGGCCUUGCCUGGCUGCGCCCAUCCUCAGGCCCGCCCUCCGCGCAGGCCCGGCCCGGGCCUCCCCGGACCUCGCCCAGUCUUCGGCUCCGACUCCUGGCGCAGGGCCAGGACGGCCGAGCAGCACAGUUUUCCCCUCCUUCCACCGCGAGAAGUUCCUGGCGGCGCGACUACACUCUAAGCUUCCCCGUCCGCAGGUGCGCGCGCUCACCCGCAGUCCGAACCUCCCUCGUGGUCCAGCAGGAGGCGAGCUGGAUGGGGAACUGAUGGCAGAGGAGACCAAGGAGACAGGUGCAGAGUGGAUGCACCCUGGACUAGGAAAGGAGCAGUAAGGAGGAAGUAGAGCUGAGGUCAGACCUUCAGGAUGCAGCGCCUACAGGACUUCACGUGGAUCCAGGCCGAAGUCUUCGGAUGACCUCCAGGGGCACUGAAAAUCUGUCCCUGGUUUGUCUUUGCUCCGGUCUCCACUAGUCGCCCCUACGGCAACCAUCCAGGGACCUCGACGCUUCCCAGGGACAUACAUUCUGACACCAGAGAGCCUGUGCUCACUUCCCCUUUGCCUAGACUGCCUUUUCCCCUGCUUCCCCCACACUUCAAAGGCCAGCUCAGAAGUCACACUUGCCCGUUCCCUAUUAUCCAAGCACUCAUAAAGCCCUCUGUGAACUCAUUUUGGCUCUCACACACCCAACUGUGGCUUGUUCCUAUUCCUAAAUACCCAGCACAACAACGUGAAAUUUGCAAAAUCAAUGAAUACUGUUUUUUUGGGGAGGGGGUUGCUAUUCGCAGGAUUUGUGGGGUCUCAAAUGGUGACCAGGGAUUGAACCUGGGCCGUGGCAGUCAAAGUCUGGAAUGCUAACCACUAGGCCACCACGGAACUCCCUCAAUGAAUACUUUUGAAAAGAAUAUGACUGCAGGUCAUAUAUUCUGAGACUUUAUGAACACUGGGGUAAAAACGGAUGUUAAUGCCAUGAACUUGAGAGCUAUCCAGUAUGCUCAUCUGACAUUCCCCCUCAACUUCUUCCACCAUCCAUUCUACCCUAGGGAUUGAAAGAUGUCUCAACAAAUGCUAAUUUGUAAAUAACAAAAAUGUUAAUAAGAUAUAAAACUGUAUUUACAAUGUAACUUACCUAUUUUAAAGAUACAUGUAAUAUACCAAAGUGUUGAGAGUCCAUCAUUAGUCAAUAAAAUUUGAGUGCUUUUAUCUUUUUUAUGUUGUCUUUUAUAAUUGGCAUGUUAC
This is a long non-coding RNA of Bos taurus (domestic cattle), 1988 nucleotides long. NCBI's taxonomy places the organism in Eukaryota, Metazoa, Chordata, Mammalia, Artiodactyla, Bovidae. The record is from Ensembl.